Molecule: ribosomal RNA, 513 nt
Filed under: uncultured diatom
Lineage: Eukaryota; Bacillariophyta
Description: eukaryotic LSU rRNA
Rfam family: Eukaryotic large subunit ribosomal RNA (bases 226-513)
Source: RNAcentral
AUUUGACGCUAUUGCGCUGCCGAUUUUUUCUGGGAGCUACACAACAGAGUAUCAUCAAACCUANCUCUAUAACAAUUUAUUGUAAUAGGCACUUGAAGUUGGCUUNGUUUAAGGCACUCCUUCUAAAUUAAUUCAAUGCAAGAGCAUGUUUACAUUGUAAUUUUCAUAGUAAAUAUGAGUUUGUAUAGAACAGUUGGCAUUCAGUUGUUAGCUAAGAUUCAUAUUUGAUCUCUGGCUGUGUAGGAAUACCCGCUGAAAUUUAAGCAUAUUAAUAAGCGGAGGAAAAGAAACUAACAAGGAUUCUCUUAGUAAGGGCGACUGAAGCGAGAAUAGCUCAAGAUGUUAAUUGAUGUGUCAUGCAUCGAAUUGUGGUCUUUUGAUAUUUGUGUUAAAGUGUGGAUGAAGUCUUCUGGAAAGGAGCGGCAAAGAGGGUGACACCCCCGUGAAUCUACGCUGUAUAACCUUUAUCAUUGAGUCGAGUUGCUUGGGAUUGCAGCUCUAAGUGGGUGGUAA